GAUGAAGAACGUAGCGAAAUGCGAUAAGUAAUGUGAAUUGCAGAAUUCAGUGAAUCAUCGAAUCUUUGAACGCACAUUGCGCCCGCCAGUAUUCUGGCGGGCAUGCCUGUUCGAGCGUCAUUACAACCCUCAGGCCCCCGGGCCUGGCGUUGGGGAUCGGCGGAAGCCCCCUGCGGGCACAACGCCGUCCCCCAAAUACAGUGGCGGUCCCGCCGCAGCUUCCAUUGCGUAGUAGCUAACACCUCGCAACUGGAGAGCGGCGCGGCCACGCCGUAAAACACCCAACUUCUGAAUGUUGACCUCGAAGCAGGUAGGAAUACCCGCUGAACUUAAGCAUAUCAAUAAGCGGAGGA
Molecule: unclassified non-coding RNA, 353 nt
Filed under: soil metagenome
Description: partial contains 5.8S ribosomal RNA, internal transcribed spacer 2, and large subunit ribosomal RNA
Rfam family: 5.8S ribosomal RNA (bases 1-120)
Source: RNAcentral